AAUUCUCCCUCCAAAGUUACUUGAAAAGCUAAAGAAAAUUCUGCAGCUAGAGGAGAAAUGAUGUCAUUCUUCAUGACACAGAGAUUGUAAGACAAUCAUGUUUUAUUGGACCUGAUCUCUAGCCUUCACUGAAUUCAACAGGAUUUGGCUGAAGCCUGUAGUGGUAACUGAGGAAGGGAUGACUGAGAAAGAGAAACUCCUUAUUAGUCAGUGGCACUGGUUGUAAAGAAAGCUAGGACAAGAGACAGAUGUUGUCACACAAGUAACAUCAGUAGUUUUAAUUAAUUUUCUGAAUGUUAGAACAUGAGGAAAAAAGAACGCCUUUGGUUCCAAGAAAACAAACCCUUAGAAGUUGUGUAGAUUCCUAGGUCAUUUAUUUAUUUCAACUGACAAAGUU
This is a non-coding RNA of Sturnus vulgaris (Common starling), 397 nucleotides long. The record is from RefSeq and is a predicted model, not a curated record. NCBI's taxonomy places the organism in Eukaryota, Metazoa, Chordata, Aves, Passeriformes, Sturnidae.